UAUAUACGCUUUAUAUAUAUAUAUAUAUUAUCGAUAGUACCAAACACUUAAUAUAAUUGAGUUUUAAACCGUUGAAUGAAAGAAUGUGCGGUUAGUAUGAUAGUGACCCUCUAGGGUUGAGUAGAUAGUUAGUUGAAUAGUAUAAUUUAACGGAUGAAAAUGAUCAAAGAGUAUAUCUAACGGUAGAAAACUCGAUAGUACCAAGAGAUUGAUAUUAUCGAUAGUAUAGUAACCGAGCUCUCUCUCUCUCUCUACAUAUAUAUAUCAUA
Molecule: long non-coding RNA, 269 nt
Filed under: Ananas comosus (pineapple)
Lineage: Eukaryota; Viridiplantae; Streptophyta; Magnoliopsida; Poales; Bromeliaceae
Description: long non-coding RNA (ACOM_LNC027459)
Source: RNAcentral